This is a transfer RNA of Ovis aries (sheep), 72 nucleotides long. It matches the Rfam family "tRNA". Rfam says of the family: Transfer RNA (tRNA) molecules are approximately 80 nucleotides in length. The record is from Rfam. NCBI's taxonomy places the organism in Eukaryota, Metazoa, Chordata, Mammalia, Artiodactyla, Bovidae.
UCCCUGGUGGCUCAGAUGGUAAAGCGUCUGUCUUCAGUGCAGGAGACCCAGGUUCAAUCCCUGGCUUGGGAA